GGAAUAUUGGACAAUGGGCGAAAGCCUGAUCCAGCACUGCCGCGUGAGUGAUGAAGGCCUUAGGGUUGUAAAGCUCUUUUACCAGGGAUGAUAAUGACAGUACCUGGAGAAUAAGCUCCGGCUAACUCCGUGCCAGCAGCCGCGGUAAUACGGAGGGAGUUAGCGGUGUUCGGAAUUACUGGGCGUAAAGCGUACGUAGGCGGUUAUUCAAGGCAGAGGUGAAAGCCUGGAGCUCAACUCCAGAACUGCCUUUGAAACUAGAUAGCUAGAGUCUUGGAGAGGUUAGUGGAAUUCCGAGUGUAGAGGUGAAAUUCGUAGAUAUUCGGAAGAACACCAGUGGCGAAGGCGACUAACUGGACAAGUAUUGACGCUGAGGUACGAAAGCGUGGGGAGCAAAC
This 398-nucleotide ribosomal RNA is filed under the name uncultured bacterium. Its description in RNAcentral is "bacterial SSU rRNA". It matches the Rfam family "Bacterial small subunit ribosomal RNA", at positions 358 to 773 of the family's 1533-position model. The record is from RNAcentral.